CAGUAGCCACGGGAAUACGUAGGUGGCAAGCGUUGUCCGGAAUUAUUGGGCGUAAAGGGCUCGCAGGCGGUUUCUUAAGUCUGAUGUGAAAGCCCCCGGCUCAACCGGGGAGGGUCAUUGGAAACUGGGAAACUUGAGUGCAGAAGAGGAGAGUGGAAUUCCACGUGUAGCGGUGAAAUGCGUAGAGAUGUGGAGGAACACCAGUGGCGAAGGCGACUCUCUGGUCUGUAACUGACGCUGAGGAGCGAAAGCGUGGGGAGCGAACAGGAUUAGAUACCCCCGUAGUCCCUGUCUCUUAUAC
RNAcentral lists this ribosomal RNA (301 nucleotides) under uncultured bacterium. Its description in RNAcentral is "partial 16S ribosomal RNA". It matches the Rfam family "Bacterial small subunit ribosomal RNA", at positions 509 to 807 of the family's 1533-position model. The record is from RNAcentral.